CGACGCUCUCUAAACUGUCGCGACUGACCCGGUGAGACAAGCAGCUUGAAGCUCCUGCGGCCCUCCCGGGCCACGUCCACGGCACGGUGAGGCGCAAAGGCGUCUUGCAGCCCCACCCCUACCCCCACCCCCACUCGACGCUCUCUAAACUGCCGCGACCGACCCGGUGAGACAAGCAGCUGGAAACUCCUGCGGCCGUCCCCACCGCACGCCACACAUUCCUCAGAGGGAUGGAGAGGAUUUGGAUCCUUCUCACAGAGCAUAAAUAGUAUUAUGAAGAGCCAUUUAAGAAAUGGACAAUGGAAAUGUGGAAUCUGAGUGUGGAGAAGAAAGGCCUGAAGGCAGCAGGAUAAGAUUCUGUAUCUUUGAAUAGAAGACAACCUUUAUGUGCCUCAUGCCUGCUCCUUCCUCCUCUCUCUGCUUCCUGGCCA
This 431-nucleotide long non-coding RNA is filed under the name Heterocephalus glaber (naked mole-rat). RNAcentral describes it as "lncRNA (ENSHGLG00100051940.1)". Lineage: Eukaryota; Metazoa; Chordata; Mammalia; Rodentia; Bathyergidae. The record is from RNAcentral.